CCUUCUUUGAACACUCUCUAGAGCCCUAUGUGCAGAUCUUAGUUCGAAAGCAUGUUUGGUAAGAUAAAACCUUGAGAACUUGGAAGCAUAAUGAGGACUGGCACUAAUCUUAAUCAAGAAAUGUUUCAGGUUUCAUCAGCGUUCUUUCUCUGAAAUGUUUAUGUUUCAUGUUAUGGCCAUGCACAAUAGAUUUCUGAGUUGCUUCCAGGAUUCGAUACUGAUAAUGUGAGAAUGAACAGUGCAAAACCUUUAUGUUAUCUUUGAAAGAAUUUGCAUUGAAACAAAUUUCAUGUUGUGACUGCAGGAAUAUCAUUUCUGGGUGGAAACUUGUGUGCUUUAAAUAAAAGCACCCUCAGGAUCACAUUUAGAGUUCCCUUGCAGAAAAUGCUAUGCUGAUGUCUGGCCCAAGAGUGCAUCAGGUUUGAGUUAAUGGUGCAGUUCCUCUUGGAAACUGUAAAGUGCCCUGCCAGCUGUAUCAGAAGUAAAUGAAUCAUUUUGUUCGCAACGAAACAAGAAAAUAUAUGUUCUUUUGCAGAGAGGAGGAUGUUUGUUCUUGAUGCCAUGUUCAUUUAGUAUCAAUUUUGUUUGAAUCAAGAAGCUUAACCAAGGCAACUAAAUGAUUUAGCAGGACAUAUCUGUUAGUUUCAGUCACCUCCUGCAGCGGGUAAAACUUUCAGAUGGCAGUGGUUCUUUCUUUCUUUCUUUCUUUUCUUUUUGUAAUUCAGAACUAAUGGAACUCAAAUCUUCCAUGUUCAGUACUCUCCAACUAUUACAGUGCUUUCAAGCGAGGCUA
This 793-nucleotide long non-coding RNA is filed under the name Phoenix dactylifera (date palm). RNAcentral's name for it is "long non-coding RNA (PDAC_LNC017959)". Lineage: Eukaryota; Viridiplantae; Streptophyta; Magnoliopsida; Arecales; Arecaceae. The record is from RNAcentral.